CCACGUACUGCGACAGCGGCCCGGGUACAUGACGCGCAGAUCCAGGUGGCCGCGGCAGCGCGCGGCGCGCAACUCGCACUCAUCACGGUCCAGCUCCCUGGGAUCCUGGGUGUCCACGGUUUAUGACAGUGACAUCAGCGUGAGCCUUGGAAGUGUGGAAAUUGAAGGUCCCUGUAGCCACACAGCACAGCCCCGGCUCUGCACAUACAGGAACUUAUACCAGCAAAUGCCAUGCCCAGACCCUUUUCUCCACCUGAGCUGCCCAGCCUGACCUAUGUCCCUCAGCCAGUGACCAACGGCCAUGUCACUGGCCAGUGGCACUGAGGGAAGAUGCCCAGCUGUUUCAACGUGACCUUGGCCUCUGACAGUCUGAGGGGAUUCUCCCCUGGUUAGGGAAUGGGGCAAUGAUGGGACUCUGUGUUCUCACCAAGGGUGUGCGGGGGCUGGACAGUGCAACCUUGGCCGAGAUCUGACCCUGCUGUGGCUUGGACACCCAGCCUGGGCUGUGCAAAUCAAAAGGUUAUUGUCGGCCUGAUGUAGGUUGUAAACAGAGGCCAGCUGCCAGCAGCUUCCUGCUCCCUAGCCUGGUGUGUCUUCCCAAUGCAGAGCCUGUGUGCUGAGUGACCUCAGGUAAGUCACUGGCACUUACUGGGGAGCCCCCUCCUCCCCUUUGCAGUCUCUUCCAUUCAUGCCCUCCUCUUCACCUUGACCCAGCCUCGGCCUCAUACCCUGCAUCCCAUUACCUUCCUCAGCUGCCAUAGGCUUCUCCCCAACUCAAACACCCACCAUGAUUCCCCCGUGGCCCCUGCUCACCACCCCAGGCUUCUCUCUGCCCCAGACCCCACAGGUAAACAGGCAGUGACAAUGCAGUGUGAUCACAGCUGUGAUGGAGAAUGCCCCAAGGCUAUACCUGACCCAGCCUGAGGGGAACUGAGGAAGACUUCUCAGGGGAGCAAGACAUUUAAAUUGAGACUUGGAAGUUGGACUGAAUGGUGGGGAGAGGGAGCAGGGGGUCGGUGUAUGAACAGAAGUACAGUAAUGGGAUGUUUGUUCUACAAGUAAAAGAAAGCCCAGCUCAAAGGUGGUCGGUCCCCUGAGAUGACUGGUCUUAAUCCCUGGGCUCUGUGAAUAUGUCACCAUCGAUGGAAUCUUUGCAUCUCGGAUUGAGUUAAGGAAUUUCCGAUGGGAAGAUGAUCCUGGAUUACCUGGUGGGCCCAGUGUCAUCCCAGAAUCCUUAAAAGCAGAGACGUCUCUCUCUAUGGUUAGAGAGAUGCUACAUGAGAAGGACGUUACCCACCAUCACUGGCUGUGAUGAUGGAGGAAGGGACCGCAAGCCAAGGAAUGUGGGUGACCUCUGGAAACUGGAAAAGGCCAGGAACAGAUUCUCCCCUUGAGCCUCUGGAAAGGAAUGCUGCUCUGCCGAUACCUUGAUUUUCACUUGGUGAGACCCAUGUUGGACUCCUGAUCUCCAGAACUAGAAGAGAAAGAUUUAGUUGUUUUACACCAGCAAGCUGGUGGUGAUUUGUUACAGCAGCCAUAGGCCACUAAUACAAGCGGGCACUGCCCAAUGGGUUUAGUGUGUUGCCACAGCGAUCCAGUCUCUGCCAGGCUAGAAACAAACCAGGGUGUGAACACAGGUUGUGAAGGCAGGUGGCAGUACAGAGACCCUGGGAGCAGGAAGGUUGUGGGGUCUCCAAAGGUGACCCUGAGGCCUGGAGGGAGAAGGAGGUGUCUGUGGAAGCCCAGUGGCUGUGCCACAUUGGCCAGACCACGAGUGCCCUCUGUGUGCCUCUGUUUUUUCAUCUGUGAAAUGGGCAUAGAUUCCAGUACUGCAGAUUCCAGCCAAGACAGCAGGGACAGUGCCUCGGGCACAGUGAGGGCAUGACAUGUGUGCAUGGAUUCUUAUCAACCGAUGAGUGUUUGGCUAGGGCAGUUGCGUGAUGAGUCUUCUUUGCCACGCACCACUAUACUGUGAUGCAGGCACCUCCUUUACAGAGGCUGGAGAAAAGGAAGUCACUUUCUGGGGGUCACGAAGUCCCACAGCAUUGGGACUGGAGUCACACCAGGUAGGCAAGAUUCUGGGACCUGUGUGUGGAGCUGAGGGGCAGGGCCCUUCUCUCUCUGGACUGGACAAUGUGGACUGGCCCCUUGGUCGUAGCUGGCAACCUCCCUCCUGGCCCCAGCAUGCUCCAGGCAGAGGGGAAGUCCUCUGCAAAGGGGCAAAGGUGGGGAGAGCUGGGGAUCUAUAAUCACAGUUGCCAUUUACAGAGCAGCCUCCCUGGGAGUCCUCUGGGUGCGGGUGAGAGGCCCAUUUUACAGAUGGAAGACUGUGGCUCAGAGGGCUCUCUGUCCUUGUCCCACAGUGUCUGAAGGGGAAGGCACAACCAUGUUGUGGGUAUGGCCUUGGCCUGGCAAUAUGAGGAGGCACAUAGCUCUGCUUCUGCCCUGGGUCUGAGGGAGAAGACACAGCUUUGGCCUGAGUCUGAGGGAGGAGGCAUGGCCCUGCCCUCGGUCUGACCGGGGAGGCACCGCUGUACUCUAGGUCUGAGUAGGGAGGCAUGGGCCUGCCCUGGGUCUGAGGAAGGAAUCAUUGACCUGCCCAGGGUCUGAGGAAGGAGGCAUGGACUGCCCUGGAUCUGAUGGGGGAGGCACAGCCCUACCCUGGGUCUGAGGGGAGAGGUAUGGCCCUGCCCUGGGUAAUCUUAAGGGGGAGAUAUGGCCUUUGUUCUGAGGGUCUGUAGGGGCCAGGCCCCACUCAACCUCCACUUUCAAAGCCUUUCCAAGGAAAUUUCCCUGGGAAACUAUUGAAACCUGUGUCUUGCGGUGCCUGGCAGUCGAAGAGCCUCUCAAGUCUGUCCCAUAAGUGGCAGCAACAAGGUGGCCACAGGUCACAAAUGGAUGCUGGAGGCCUCAGAAACUCAGGGCCGCUGGGCUACGUGCAUGACCAAAUAUGAGCCUCAGUCUUCUUGUCAUAAAACGGGGUCAUAAUUGUCCCACCGCAUCGCAUGGUGCUUGUGUGAGGAUUAAACUUCAGGCCUGGCACCUCCUGAGCUUGUCAUUUUGAAACAUACGUAACUGUGUGUUCUCGUUCCCACCGCAUUCCCAGAGCCCUGCCUGGGCCAGACACACAGCAGGCACUCACUAAAUGUUGUUAUUCGAGACUAUCGAACACCUACUGUAUGCUGGGUGUUGGCCUCACUUAUUGGGAGACAUCAUUGAUAACUCCUGGAUUAUAGGAUGGCUGUGGGGAAAGAAAUCAGGGUGCUAAGCAAUGGGGUGAAGUGGGGGAUAGGGCUCCCCUAGGAAGGGGUCGGGCAACCUGAGAAGCAGGGAAAGAGAAGAGAUAGUGGGAGGGGCACUCCCAACAGAGAGCAUGGUCAGGCAAAGGCUCUGAGGUGGGAUCCAGCUUGGCCCACCCCAGGGGGCCAGUGAAGCUAGGUUGAGGAGGUGUGAGUGAGGGACAGAUGACCUUAGGGCAGGCACUAGAGCCCACUAAGGGACUGGGCAACAGAGGCCUGAAGCAAAGGACCGACC
Long non-coding RNA from Hipposideros armiger (great roundleaf bat), 3534 nucleotides. RefSeq lists it as uncharacterized. The transcript has 3 exons. The record is from RefSeq and is a predicted model, not a curated record. Lineage: Eukaryota; Metazoa; Chordata; Mammalia; Chiroptera; Hipposideridae.